RNAcentral lists this long non-coding RNA (584 nucleotides) under Marmota monax (woodchuck). Lineage: Eukaryota; Metazoa; Chordata; Mammalia; Rodentia; Sciuridae. The record is from RNAcentral.
UUGUAAGUCAUUUCUUCAAAAAGAAAGAAUCUCCCAGUGCCAGAAAUGGAUCUAGAAAUUUCUCUCAGGCUGGCUGUUGAGGAAUCAGAGAGUAGAAAGUUCUCCUGAACUCCAUCAGAAACACCCCCAGUUUUACUUUUGUGUGUGUGUGCAGGGUCUCACAUGUACCUAGCAAGUGCUCUAGGCAGAGCUACACCUGCAGCCCUGAAGGCAGGAUUCUGUCACUAAAUCUGCUCUCCCUCAUGGUUUCAUAACCAAAGAGAUAAGCCCCAGCUUGGUUCAUUAUGACAGUUGUGUGAUGUUAGGGCAGCUGGCGGUCUUGAGACCUGUGGGAUGUCUUGGGAAGAGUGCAAUCAGAAUGGCUUUAAGUGGGCCAGGAUGAGCUUUAUCCUAAAGACAGGAAACUCUGCUGCUUUUGUUUCCAGAAAACAGACCAAAUAGGCAGCAGAAACAACAUUCAGAUGCCCAGCUGUAUGAAUCACAAAAGCAAAUGUAAAAUAUUAUGCAUGUGGACAAAACCUUAACCAGGGCUUACUGAAAGUAGCUAAUUUAAUGGGAUACAUGAAUUCUGUCAGUCAGUACAG